CAGUCGCCGCGGUAAUACAGAGGGUGCGAGCGUUAAUCGGAUUUACUGGGCGUAAAGCGUGCGUAGGCGGCUUCUUAAGUCGGAUGUGAAAUCCCUGAGCUUAACUUAGGAAUUGCAUUCGAUUCUGGGAAGCUAGAGUAUGGGAGAGGAUGGUAGAAUUCCAGGUGUAGCGGUGAAAUGCGUAGAGAUCUGAAGGAAUACCGAUGGCGAAGGCAGCCAUCUGGCCUAAUACUGACGCUGAGGUACGAAAGCAUGGGGAGCAAACAGGAUUAGAUACCCCUGUAGUCCCUGUCUCUUAUAC
Molecule: ribosomal RNA, 301 nt
Filed under: uncultured bacterium
Lineage: Bacteria
Description: partial 16S ribosomal RNA
Rfam family: Bacterial small subunit ribosomal RNA
Source: RNAcentral